AUAUGUGCCAUCUCCACAGCAUAUGUGAGUUGUUCUUUUACUGCCUGCCAACUUACAGUUUUCGUAAGGAUAUAUUACUUACAUCUUGGCCUUACCAGGCUUACCUAAAGUAUUUGUAUAUAUAUAUAUAAAAAAAUAGCUAAUCACAAAAGUGAGUGAAAACAACUUAUAGAACCUUGCAAAAAUAUUCAUAGAGAUUCUAGACUCCCAGUUUCAUUGAAUGUAGCCUGAAAGAAAUUGAUAAAAGUAAUCUGAGUUUUAAUAUGAAAAGAAAAGACAUUAAGAUCCAUUCUGGUUUAUUUCCUGAAAAUGAUGAUAUUUGAAUUUUUAUUGCUAAUUUUGCCAAGGACAUCUUGAUUCUUAGUUGGGAUUUGAAAUUGUAGUGCUAGGUUUUUAUAAAGUCCUAGGUUAAUGCUGCACAGGGAAAACACAGUAAUUUUAGUUAACACAAAG
This 453-nucleotide unclassified non-coding RNA is filed under the name Hevea brasiliensis (rubber tree). The record is from RNAcentral. Lineage: Eukaryota; Viridiplantae; Streptophyta; Magnoliopsida; Malpighiales; Euphorbiaceae.